Molecule: transfer RNA, 72 nt
Filed under: Viviparus viviparus
Lineage: Eukaryota; Metazoa; Mollusca; Gastropoda; Architaenioglossa; Viviparidae
Description: tRNA-Lys
Source: RNAcentral
CCCUAAAUGACUGAGUUGAAGUGAUAGAUUUUUAAUCUAAGGACGACAUGAUUUAUUUAUUGUCUUUAGGGG